This is a long non-coding RNA of Nothobranchius furzeri (turquoise killifish), 1707 nucleotides long. RefSeq lists it as uncharacterized. The record is from RefSeq and is a predicted model, not a curated record. Lineage: Eukaryota; Metazoa; Chordata; Actinopteri; Cyprinodontiformes; Nothobranchiidae.
CGAAAUGAAACUCUGGGACGGAGUCGAGGGCCAAACUUAAUAUUUUUUGAAAAAGUGACGGCAAAUUUGCGCAUUUUCUUUAUCAACAUAUAUGCAAUUUUGAACCUUUUAAUUUGGAAACAAACAUAUUUCUGCAUUAACACUGAAUGUGGAAUAACCAAAUUACACACGAGCAAGUCCGUUUUAAAUAAAAGGCAUCAGUGGUAUUCAUUACUUGUGGUAUAAUCAGCAUUUUUAAAAUCUAUUCAGGAUUUAUGUUUUCUUGUUUAUUCAUUUUUCUUAUUUUUUAUUCUCCUUUUUUCUACUGUAAUAAGUGUCAUCGCUGCUGUGACGUCUAGCUUUCCCCACUGAGGAACAAUAAAGGGAUUUUCUAUUCUAUUCAUCUAUCUGCAGUUGUUCCUGUUUACUGUAGGUUAAAUCUUUUCUCACGGGCCAACAACAAAAUAAAAAUAUUAUUUUAUCUUAAAUGAAAAUGCAACAUUUCACCUGUUAACUUUCAUGUUUUGGAGCAGAAAAAGAGCAUAAAACCAACAUAUUUAAAGCUCAGUUUGCUCCACUGGUUUACUGUGAUGCUCACCUGUUCCAGCCAGAUACCUGCAACAUGGGGUUGAUCUGAGCUGAGGAGGAGACUCCUGUUGUUUUGUUCAUCUUCAUCAUAAUAAUGACAACAUUAGAUGACAACAGGUGCUCACAUAGGUUUGUGCUGCUGAACAUGUCUGAACAGCUUGACCACGUUGUUGUGUGUCGGGGAGGAAACACGACAGCAACCACAGAGUCAUGCUGGUUUGAGCGUGUCGCUGCUCGCUGGAGUUAUAUCAGCUCUGUCUGGAAGUUAGUUGGAAAACUUUCUCUUUCAGUCGUGAACACAUUACUGGGCGGUUAAAAUCUCCGUUUCUGGGCUUCAACGUUGGUAAAUAGCUGAGUAAACUCAGCGCUGAGUGAGAGGAGUGUUUAGUUUGUCCCAGACGGCAAAGCUGCAGACGCCGGCAGCAAAUGCUGGAAAAAACACAAAGGAGGGGGCGCUUCGGCUCCGCGCUAACGCUGCAAAGCAUCAUGGGAGUUGUAGUCUUUGCUGUGACAUCGGCCAGCGGGUCAGUUUUAAUAUAUUUUUGAUGGCUGUGUCUCGAUUCAGGGUCUGCAUCCUACGUCGGCCGGAUUCGUCGGCCGGUUACGUCACAGCGCCGCGACUAGGCCUGUCCCAAUUCGAAGACUCCUUCAAAUGCGGUCGACGAAUGCGGCCUUCUUUUCGCCUGAAUGAAGGAUGGGUCCGGUGUAUCCUUCAAUAGGUAGCAUUUCCCAAGAUGCCUUGCGGGCCGGCCGGCAGAAAAACUUAAAAACAACGGCAGACAGUGAAGCGGGAGCUGUCGGAGAGGAUUGCGCAUAUAAAUGAACAAAAGAGAAAACCAGGGAAUUUAUUAAGCUUAGGGCGGAGAUGGACCACAUGAUCACCGGAGCAAAGUAUUCGGCGGCUGUGGCAUGGAGACUAUUCUGGAGAAAAUGGGCAUCCAGGGGAAGGUGCCAGCGAUGACCAGCUUCUGGAGCUGAUCAGGGAGGACAUGAGGCUGCAGAGGGAGGCAGAGCAGCAGAGGGCACAGGAGAGAAGGAAGAACUUUGACAGCUUUUUACUUUGCUAGAAAAAAAUGGUUAAUAAAGAUUAAACAUGUACAUAUAAAAGAAAUAUCUAAAUAAAAUCAGUUCUGCAUUAAA